This 549-nucleotide ribosomal RNA is filed under the name uncultured bacterium. Its description in RNAcentral is "bacterial SSU rRNA". It matches the Rfam family "Bacterial small subunit ribosomal RNA", at positions 28 to 548 of the family's 1533-position model. The record is from RNAcentral.
AGUGAACGCUGGCGGCGUGCUUAACACAUGCAAGUCGAACGCGAAAGGGUAGCAAUACCCGAGUAGAGUGGCGAACGGGUGAGUAAAAUGUGGGUAAUCUAGCUUUCAGAGGGGGAUAACCCGGGAAACCUGGGCUAAAACCGCGUAACAUAUCGGGGAUUACGGUUCUUGAUAUCAAAAGCAUGGCCUCUAUUUAUAAGCUAUGGCUGGAAGGUGAGCCCACAACCUAUCACGCUUGUUGGUGAGGUAAAGGCUCACCAAGGCGACGACGGGUAGCCGGCCUGAGAGGGUGUCCGGCCACACUGGAACUGAGACACGGUCCAGACUCCUACGGGAGGCAGCAGUGGGGAAUUUUUCGCAAUGGGCGCAAGCCUGACGAAGCAACGCCGCGUAGAGGAUGAAGGCCCCUCGCGGUCGUAAACUCUUGUCUAGCGGGACGAAAACUUCCNUACGGAAAUACUGUAUGGAAUUGACUGUACCGCUGGAGGAAGCUCCGGCCAACUCCGUGCCAGCAGCCGCGGUAAUACGGAGGGAGCAAGCGUUACUCGG